Long non-coding RNA from Coccinella septempunctata (seven-spotted ladybird), 1003 nucleotides. RefSeq lists it as uncharacterized. The transcript is spliced from 5 exons. NCBI's taxonomy places the organism in Eukaryota, Metazoa, Arthropoda, Insecta, Coleoptera, Coccinellidae. The record is from RefSeq and is a predicted model, not a curated record.
UGAUUACCUUUGGAAUCUGUAUGAAUUUGUAAUUAUUUUCGAAAUUAGCGUUACAGGCAGUGUUUCACAGUCUAAAACUUCUGAAAUUUAUUCGAAGAAAGUUUUCAUAAUGGUAAGAUACGGAUAAUUUCAUGAAUUAAAUCCGAAGGAUUCUGUAAAUGGAACACAUUCCUUACCGAAUCGAGAUUCGAAAUGAUGGGUUUUCUCUUUGAGGUUUGGAAAUUGAUCGGAAAAAUCCUAGAUUCAUUUAUAUAUGCCCGAAUCACUUCAACUGGAUAUAAUUUGUGAUAAGAUUAGUAAACGUUAGCCCAUUGCCCUUCCAACUCCAUACAUUUGAGAGCAAAGAGACUAAGACUUCAAGCACUUCUCUGAUUAAAAGUAUGAGUACUUUAUCAGAGGACACUUUUCCGAAGAGGAAACCUAGGGCAAAAUUAGUUACCAAUUAUUUUGUUGUUAUGAUACCUACAUACAAUAUACAUGAGUAAGACCUCCAGACCCUCCCCAACCUUUUGAAAAGAAGCAUCAGAAGAAAUUGUUCAAUCAGAGAAAAUAUUUACAGAGAAAACAUUGAACCUAAAGUUUCUGCAAUCAAACGAAGUAGAAAAACCUAUGUUUGGGACAUGGCUGAAGAAGAAUUCAGUUCGGAUAAAACAAGGCCAAACUUCAUAUUCAUGAGGAGAACUAUUUUUCGCUUCGGAGUAAUGUUCAUUCUGUAGUCGAAGCUAUGGAACUUGAAUAAUCUGCUAUAUUUCAGAGUAAAUCCUUUCAUCACAGUCAUCUAUAAGUGCUUCUAAGGCUCCUCUUUCUGGUAAAGGAAUAAAUGUUUGAGAGGAAGUUGAAAGACCUAUCAACACAGAUAUACAGUCCUGCAUUGAGAUCAUUUACUUUGACAUUCUAAUCCCCAAGAGCUAAUUAUUUUGCACGCAUUCCAUUCAACAAAAAUGUUUGAAAUAUAAAUUGAUUGUGAGUGGUUUGGCCAGGGAGUUAAAGAAUAUUUGUGUAU